GGCAAUCACUAGCUACAAUCGAUGGAAUUUUGAUUGGAACUAUUCAUAAAAAAAGCCGCCUGAAGCCCCACCCGCCUUUUCUAUAUAGCUGCAUAACCAUAACAAGUUUUCUCUAAUGCCAUACCAAACCAAGACCUUUCCUACAAGGAAAGAAAGAGCCCGCGGCUCCCCUUUUUGAAUACCCCCCUCACUCCCCCCGG
RNAcentral lists this long non-coding RNA (200 nucleotides) under Capsicum annuum. RNAcentral describes it as "long non-coding RNA (CANN_LNC010332)". Lineage: Eukaryota; Viridiplantae; Streptophyta; Magnoliopsida; Solanales; Solanaceae. The record is from RNAcentral.